AGAAGUAUUGCUUAAGUCUUACUUCAGAAGAGCAGAUGGUGUUUUGCUGCUGUAUGAUGUUACAUGUGAGAAAAGCUUUCUCAACGUACGAGAAUGGGAAGGUACGGUUGAGGCUGCAGCCCAUGAGAGCACUCCUGUCGUGUUGGUAGGAAACAAGGGUGAUCUUCAUGACGCUGCUAAAGCAGAGGGACAAAAACAUGUCCCAGGGUACCUUGGAGAAAAUGGGAAGUGAAGAAAAGAACUGGUGAGGAGGACAGCAAAUCCAUUUCCAGUCUGAGUGGGACCAGUUCCAAAAAGUCAGCCCAGAUGAAUUGUUGCAAUGGUUAAAUCCCAAACAUUCUUGGCCCAUGAGGCUUCAUUUCCAGAGUACUGAAUGAAAUCAAGAUUAUUAUCAACAUUUGAUUUCGUGAAGGUGUUCUCAAAUUUAAAGAAUAUUUUUGGUAAGAAAAAGGUAUCUAAUUUUUUUUAACAGAUUUAAUUUGAUACAUUUGCGUAGUUCUGUGCAAGUAACUCAUCUUGGCUCAAUUUUUCCUUUGAGAGCUUUUAAAACCAGUUAUGCUACACUCUUUUUUAUGUAUCCUGACACACUGGAUAAUAUUUUAGUUUCAUCAUGGAAAAGAAAGUUGGAUGUGGAGACAUCUUUCACUGCUAACUUUAGCCUCAUGCAUUUUCAUAAUUUAUUUUUCUACUUGCUGCUUUAUAUGACAUAUGUGACAUUUGAUUAUUUAAUACUAAAUGUGAUUUGCAUAAAGCCAAACUGCACAAUCCUCUUGCUGAAGAUAAAAUCGAGGUUAAAGAUAAAGAUUUAUUUUCAUAUUUGUACAGUGAAUGGCUUCAGAGUGAUGGUCUUUGUGGGCUUUUAUAGUAUAUGUGUGUAAGAAAUUUCAUAUGUAUAUAUUAAGUAGGCCUCUGAGUAUUGAAUAAUGAUUUUAUGAUUUUGAUUUACAUGGUAUACAUUUUCAUAGUAUCAGCUCUAUUUCGCUUAUACUGUUUAUUUCUCUUCAAACCAUUAAUAAUUAUCCCAUAAAGUAUAAUUUUUAUAGCAAUACAAGUGUCUAAGGAGCUACAGAUAUUUCCUGCAUUGUAAUUCAAUGAAGCACGCUUUCUUUGGCUUUCUGGAUGUUCCCUUCAGCUUUGCUGCAGGUAUCCCUGAAGUAGUUUUAGUUCUAGGAUGUGUCUACAUGAAACUGUGCAGUUGGCAGCUGGCUGGGGGGAGAAAAGAAUGAACACGUGGUGUGCGGUCUGUGGCACAGCCUUGUCAUCUCGGCCAGUUGACCAGCUUGGGGUGUCAUGGCCAGGAAUAGUGAGGCUUUCAUAGGAUGCGCUCUGGCCAGCCUUAUGACCUCAGAGAUUAGUUCCUUUCUCUGACCCGCCCCCCACCCCCCACCCCAUACACAUCUAGCUAACUCCUGCUCAUCCUUCUGCCUUAGCUUAAGCAUCACUUCCUUCAGGAAGUUUCCCCUCUCGACUUCAAACCAGGAUGAGGCUGUCUGCUCUCACUUAUGUAGCAUCCUUUCUAACUGGUCAGCAUUCUUAUUGCCCUCGUACUUGUUCAACUAGACAUAUGCCCUGAGCUUUAUCCCUAUUGUCUGCUGCUGCUUCAAAGAAUUAACUAAGGCAGGAUUUGUGGAAUUUCUGCAGGCACACAUUGACAGAGAUACACACAUACACAAUGGUCAAGGACAGUAUAAAUAAGAGGUAGCAUGUAUUAGUGGCCACUGGUCUGAGCUCUGCAGCCAGCCUGCCUGGUUUGAACCUGGCCUCAUGUAUCUACUAGUAGGUAACUGUGAGCAAGGGGUGUAACCCAGCUUCUUCAUUGGUAAAAUAGGGGUGAUAACAGCACCUUCCUCGUGGAGUUGUUAUGAGCACUAAAUGAGUUACUAUAUGGAAAAGGCUUGGAAUAGUACCUGGCACUUUGAUCACUCAAUUAAAAAUGAAAAAGUUUUGAGGCACAAUUGAUUGCAUUGGUCUUGUUCAGGACCCUGGAUACUACCAUCAGUGUGUGAUAAAAUGCCCAAAAUUUACCAGAUUACCUGGGGGAUGGGGCAUUGUAGAGGAUUCACUUUGACAUAAGUUCACUGACCUCCCACAUUUCUUGGUAUUUCGAUGGAUACAUAGUUGGGGUAUCAUAUAGGAUAGAAUAUUGUGUAGAGUGGAUUAAAAGACAAGGAAAUCAUUGAGAAAAAAAUGAGGGCCUGGAAGUUAGAAUGGAAAGUUGUGAAUGGAGUCUUUAUAAGUGUAAGAUCUCCAUUUAUUAAGGGCUGAUUAGAUGAAGUAGUUGAAGGGGUUAAGAAAAUACCAGAGCUCUGUCUGGGAUUUUUGAAUCUAAAUGACAGUAAAAGUGGUGGUGGCUAUUUCUAACUGAAUUGAAACUAACCUUUAUAGUAGGACAAGUAACCUGUUGACAAGGAUCUCCAGUGAAUAUAUGCAAAAAUCCUCAAGAUGGGAAUGAAUCCCCAGCAAAGCAUAUUGUUUUGCAAGCCUUAAAAUAAAAAUAACAUCUCUUCUUUCCAGAUCUAGACAUUAAGAUAUGUCUUCAUAGAUGAAAAUGGAAAAUAGGCACAAAUGCUUCAACUUGAAAUUACAGGGUACAACCCACAAAGACAGAAGACAAUAGCAACAAAAUUAUGAAACUGGAGAGCAGAUGAAAAAUUUGGAAAUGAGUUAACAACCUAAGAAAGCUGAAUCCUAAGCCAGUAGUGGGGGAAAGAUGAGAGGAAUCUAGAGUUACACUGAAGAUUUUCCAGAAGGCUCAGGAAUUGGUGGAAGCAGAGAUUGAAAGACUUUUCCCUGGAGUACUGACCAGCUAAGAGGACCUGUGUGAUUUUGUUGAGAUGACCUGAAUAAUCCAGGACACCCGCUGCAUCUCAAGAUUGUUAAUCACACCUGCAGAGAUGUGAUCCUUUUGCCAAUAAGGUGAAGGAACACGGCACCAAGAGGAUAAGUGAUGUGCCCCGGGUCACACGUUGGGUCAGUGGCAAAGUGGGUAACAGUCAAGCCCGGGUUGGAGGGUUUUAUCUCAGAUUUGUUCUGUUCCUCUUCAUUAAAAACAAGUUCAGAAAGAUCCAGGACACUUACAGAUUCUGGUAUUUGGGGAUUUCAAGGGUUCGAUAUUUUGUAGUCAAAAAAAAAAGAAACAAAAUUAUAAAGUUAGAAAAGCAAAUAUAACAGGGAUAUUAAUAGAAUAAUUAACUCUUCACCAUUGAGCCUAGAUUUGCAUAUUUGUGAAGUACGGAGUACUUACAAAAUGCCUGUGUUUAAACAAUCUAUUUCCCUUCUAUGAGAAAAAUACUCUUCAUCUGCUUUGUCUUUUAUAAAAAUGUGCACAUGUCCUAUAGAAAGGUUUUAAAUUUGCCUAUCUCAGACUUGCAUGAUCUAGCAAUGAAUUUGUUUUUAGUAGAUCAUUCUAUGCAUAAGAAUAUUUCAAUUAUGUUUUUUGAAAUCUAAAUCAAUCCUCUAUUAAUUUGAUGGGAAAGAGUCAAAUAAGGUGAAACACAUUAUUCAGACUCUCCUGAGACCCUCACACCCACUGGGACUCUUAAUUCAUCAAGUACACUUGUGAGAAUUCACAAACAGUUUUUUUUUUUCCAUUUUAGGUCUUUGGGGGGGAACUUGUUUAUACAUGCAAGUAACUUUAGUCAUAUGCUUCCUUAUGAAACACACACAUUGUUCAUUCGUGGAAAGCACUGAAGCUCCUGCCUCCCACGACAAGGGCAGAAAUUUGGUGAUCAGAGAAUGGAGUGAACUGGGUACCAGUCAGCAUCUUAGUUGCCUCCAGGAGUCAAUAUGGGUUUCUGUCAAGUGACAACUGACCCAGGAAAGCAGCAACAGCACUUUUAGGAUAACGUGGCUGGGGGAGUUAUCUGGGCUUUGGGUUAGAGUUGGCCUUACAAAAGCAGUAUUAUGAGUUGCUUCCUAGGUUGAGUGCGGGUAGAGAGGGCAGUCUUCAGAUACACAGGCCCAGGUGACCUCCAGAACGUGAUGACUUAUAAUGGAGACCACCUGCAUUUGCAGUUAGAGGAACCACUGCCCCCAACCCAGUAAUGUUGGUGUAGAGAGAUGAGCAGAGCUAAUCGCACCCUUCCUCCCACAAAGUAUACGUUCUUCCUUCCAGACUAAGUCUGCAGAAACCUCCAUGAGUACCAGCCGAAUCCAAAGACAGUUCUAUACAGAGGACAUGGAAUGGGCUCUGUCAUUCCGGGGGUGGACAGCAAGGGGGCUAGUUUGGUGUGUCCUGAGGGAGGGCUGGUGACACCUCGAGGAAGGCUAAAAGAGGGUACUGCAGGAGAAGCUGGGAAAGAAUCUGGGGAGAUGGGGAAAGUCAGACAUAAGAAGCACAUUCUAGGAGUGUGUGGGGUUGGGGAAUGAGUCGUCCCCUCCAUAGAUCUUUUGUCAAGGGCUAUGAUGGAGGAGGGCUCUAGGCAGAGAAACUAGCAUGAAACAUACUAGUUGAGGUGUGACAGUGGCAUGUUGUAACUAGAAAGAUGGUGGAAAGUGUGGGCUAAUGACUCUAGAAAGGGGAAUUGAGACAGAUCGUGAAACUUGUAUGAUUUUUCCUUCCUGAAAAAUUGAUCAUAAUAAGCGUUAGCUAGAAACAUUUCGAGUGACUCAUUUGCCUUUUGGCCAGUAUUACUUAUGACCUUAUUACUAAAAAUAUAUGAUCAAAUCAUAGAGAGGUGGACACAGUUUUCUUUUGGUGAGCAUCAUUUAGCUAGAAUAAUAUUCUUUGCAUAGCAUUGUCUGUAAAUCUUUUUGUGCUAGUUAUCUACAUUCACUGGAGAGCAGUAGUUUAGAGAUGAUCCAUUUUGCAGGUGAUUAAAUGGAGAGCCAGAGGGGCUGGGGCAUUUCCAAAGCUACAGAGAAAAUCAAUGGUGAAGCUACGACAGGAAUCAAGACUCCUCAGACCCAGGCUGAUAUCAUUUUCCAUUGAACUGUACUAUCUAGUACUACUUUAGCUAGAAUACUUUCCCUGGCAAAUAUUUCUCUCCCUCCCCACUCCCUUCACAAACCUGGAAAGGAAAGAUAGGUCGGUUGAGUGACAGGGUCACCUGGAACUAACACAAAAAGAAUGGAUAAUUUCUUCGCCUGCAUCAUUCUCAGUAGGAUGUAUUUCCUCUCUCUCUCUUUCACUCACGCCCACCUCCUCCACAUGUUCCAGCCCCACAAGUCAACGCUCUCCAUUUUAUAGGGCUGUAUUGAGUCCAGCUUAAUAGUGUAUCUUGCAAAAUAUCUAUAUUAGAUUUAUUUUAUCCUUCAGAGGAGAAAUAAUCACAGAAAACAAGAGUAUUUCUUUCAUUUAGGUCAUAGCUUGUCACAUCUAGCCCAAGAAGCACUAGCUGAAAUUAUUUGUUACAUCUCAUCUGGGUGCUGCAAAAAAAUUAGACAUUGUUUUGAAACAUCAUCGCGUUAGAUCUCUUCUUGGUGGAGAGUUUUCAUUAAUUUAUGCAAUUGUCAAGCUGCUUCAUGUUUAAGUAUAUACUCUGUAGAAUGAAUUCUUUUCUGGGCAUCACGAGAGUGCAGAAUUUAGAAACAAUGUAGCAACAGAGAGGAUUUGCCCUUCUAUUUAUUUUCUCUCUUUUGGGAGAAUUUGUUAUUUUAAAAAGGAAGCCUGCAGUGCAAUCUGUUUCAUUCUGCUCUGAUGGUAACCUUCCCUUGUACAACAUAUCAAUUUUGAAUGAUACGGAUUCCUUCUCCCCAUAAACACACAAACCUAUCAAGCUCCGAGAUGGCUGACAAAGCUUUAACUUUACUGAAUGUGAUGCUAUAAUUAAGGAAAUGUGGACUGUGGAGGUAAUCAUUAGUUCUUCUGUAUGAACAUCUAGCCCAGGAUUUUGCCGCCUACUAUGUUUCCUUGUUAAUGACAAUGUUGGGAGGCUUCCAUGUAAUUGAAAUUGCCCCCUUUGAAGAAUUGAUGUGUGAAGUGAUCAUGUAAUCUCAUAAUGAGCUAGCAAUGGAGAGAUGAAGAGAAUUUAUAUACUGGCACAAAGUGGAAAUAACCAGUCGUACAGUAAAUUUCUGUAUGAAUCUGUAAGUUUGUGCAGUAGAAUUAAAGUAGGUAUUACCCACUGCUGCAUAAAUUUAAAAAAUGCUUCUAGGCUAUUUUAGGUAGAUCAUAAAUGAGUUCCAAUCAUAUUCCAUGGAUUCAGCCAUUCGGGGUGGAGGACCAUAUAUGUCUUAUGUGGGGUUGGGUUGUGAAGUGUAUUGCUCAGCUAUUUCUGUGACAGUGUUGCAUUCCAAGCGUCCCACCAAACUUGCUCAGGGGUCUGUGGGCCUGAUGCACUUUGGCGAGGCUGGACUCUGGGUUCCAGGCUACGGGCUGUGGUUUGGGUUGCGUUUGGGUUUGCUCCACGAGUUUCUCAUCCGCUUGGACCAGUAGCCAUCCAGAGUCUGCUCUUCAUAUAGCAAAUGGCAGGACUGCAAGAGAGCAAAUUGAAACCCGCGACCCGGCUGGAGUUCUCAGCCCUGAAAUCUCACACUGUCUCUUACACCUAUGGUUCAUUGGCAAGUUGCAGGGCCAAGCUCAACAUGAACACAGAGGGCAGGAGUUCUAGGUCACAUGGCAAAGGCAUGAAUGCAUAGAAUUAUAAUAUAUAUAAUAAUUGCAAAUAGUGAUUGAAGCCACAGCAAGGCCAAUAAUCUCCAUUCCUACAAAUUCCCCAGCUGGUUCUUAUGACCCCCAUCCUUGAGAACUAUUGGAUAUAUUUUGUUUAUUUUUGUAGUCUCCUUACUCACAGUUUCUCUAAUCAGCAAUAAAUGUCAAAUUGUUAAUACUGAAUUCACUUCGAAUGAGGAUCACGUGCUGUGAGGGGAGUAUUUGCUCCCUGAAGGGUCUUGUCUGUUUCUUGGGGAUUUGUUUCAGGAUACAUAUAAUUAGGGCCAAAGAAAUGUUUAAAUUUUGUCUCAUUUAAUCGCUAAGUACCUUUUAGAAAAUGUGGAAAACUCUGUCGUAGAAGCGUCCAUGUCAUCCGUAAACCCCCUCUGUCUUGGGGAGGAAAGAGAGCUGCCACCUCCUCCACCAGCAUCCUAUACCCCCUUCUCCUCCUGGAUGUCUGGCCAGUUCCGCGCAUGGGAAGAAAGGCUACACCUGCUUAGCCCAGGUUAUGUCCGAACUGCUCUCAACCUUAGAUAUGUAUGGGUAUAGAGUUGUGUUCAGUUCUCCAGGAAAGAAUUUAAGUAUAGGAUGCAUUUACUAUCAAAUUCACACAUGAGAAUGUAUAGUGCCUUUGCCUGAAAGGGCACUUAGAAGUUCAUAUUCUUUUUUUUUUAAUUUAUAUUUUAUUUUUUUUGGCUGCAUUGGGUCUUCGUUGCUGC
Molecule: long non-coding RNA, 7311 nt
Organism: Aethalodelphis obliquidens (Pacific white-sided dolphin)
Lineage: Eukaryota; Metazoa; Chordata; Mammalia; Artiodactyla; Delphinidae
Exons: 8
Source: RefSeq, a predicted model, not a curated record